GUGCUCACUUUGGCAGCACAUAUAGUAAAUUGGAACACUACAAAGAAGAUUAGCAUGGCCCCUGAGAGAGGAUGACAGGCAAAUUCAUGAAGCGUUCAAUAUUUUU
Sciurus vulgaris (Eurasian red squirrel) is the source of this 106-nucleotide small nuclear RNA. The record is from Ensembl. NCBI's taxonomy places the organism in Eukaryota, Metazoa, Chordata, Mammalia, Rodentia, Sciuridae.